AGCCAUUUCAUUCUUUGAGAUCUCUACUUCCUUCAAAAGUUCAUCUUUCUCCGAUAAUUUCUUUUGCAAAUCCUCCACUUGCCCCCUCAAAGCCAUCAAUUCUUCUCUAUCUUUUUCUGAUAAAUACGAUCUUGAGGAAGGCAUUGAAAUGUUAUCAGAGCAUCCAUCUUGGUCAGCACCAACAUUUUUAUUUUGGUCCCUAUGUUUUUUGUUUGAUUGAGCUGCAUUCUUUCCCUUUGUUUCAGAAGUCUUCUUGUAAAGAGACUCCCUUGAAGGCGUUUUAGUGUAGGUCAUUGAUCCCCUUCUAGUAAAUGACGACUUCGCCUUUCGAUCAAUGAGAGAUUGAACAAGAGGGACGAUCUGGACGAGGUCAUUAAAGAGGGUACGGUCAACAGUUCCGGCAGCCGAAUUAGAGAGAGAAGAAUCAGUUCGCCGGAGUGUAGGAGAGCGGUCCUCGCCGGAAAGCCAAGAACUGGAGUCAGCUCCGGCACCGAAACCGCCAUUGUUGUCCUGCAAAUCUAGCAACUGCUGAGGCUCAUACAUUGUCG
RNAcentral lists this unclassified non-coding RNA (548 nucleotides) under Hevea brasiliensis (rubber tree). The record is from RNAcentral. Lineage: Eukaryota; Viridiplantae; Streptophyta; Magnoliopsida; Malpighiales; Euphorbiaceae.